GGGCACGUAGCUCAGUUGGUUUAGAGCACCGCCAAUGUUGCGGAAGGACGCGGGUUCGAGUCCCGCCGUGUCCU
Transfer RNA from Phytophthora nicotianae (black shank of tobacco agent), 74 nucleotides. It matches the Rfam family "tRNA". From Rfam's summary of the family: Transfer RNA (tRNA) molecules are approximately 80 nucleotides in length. NCBI's taxonomy places the organism in Eukaryota, Oomycota, Peronosporomycetes, Peronosporales, Peronosporaceae. The record is from Rfam.